Molecule: long non-coding RNA, 18888 nt
Organism: Equus caballus (horse)
Lineage: Eukaryota; Metazoa; Chordata; Mammalia; Perissodactyla; Equidae
Source: Ensembl
GUCUGGGUCUCGGCUGCAGUGACUCCUCCUUGGGGUGGGUGGUAUAGCAGCAGAACCAGCUCUGGGAUGACAAUGUGCAGCAGUGGCUUGGGCUCAGAGGGCACGGUGUAGUACCAUCAUAGCCUGUGGAUUGUGGGUCAAAGUCCCAACUUUGACCCCAGGGGGCAGUUGCGGGACAUCAGCAGCAUGUCGUUGGUGGGGGACCAUUAAAGCCACAUGUUAGGACCCAGGGAGUGGGGCUCAGGGCAGCAGCAGCAUAGCCCCAUCAAUGAUUCAUAGCCAUGGCCUGGGACCUGAGGGUGGAGCUCAGGGCAGCAUCAGUGUGGUCCUGGUGAUGGUCAAAUCAUGACCUAGGACCCAGGGAGUGGGGCUCAGGGCAGCAGAGGCUGCCCCUGUAAUAGUGGAACAAAGCUGUGCCCUGAGACUGAGGGCGGGGCUCAGGGCAGGUGCAGCUGCCAUCUUGAUUUGGUGAGGUGCUGUGGUGUCCUGAUCCCAGAGAGCAAGGCACAGCAGCAACUGGGGCCUCUGAGGGCAGGGCUCAUCGCAGUGACAGAUCAGCUCUGGGAAGGGGACACCGAGGUGAGGGCUCUGGGCAGCUCCAUCAGCUGGGAUCAGCGUUGGUGUAGACUGUGGAAGAACUCGCUGCAGGGGCUACAAACUUCCACAGGGAUGGUGGUAGGAUCCAGACAAGGCAGAAACGACUCCGUGUGUUGCUACUGGGAUAAAAUGCAGAAGUUCAUAUUCUCUUGUGGGCUGUUGGAUUUCCUUGGGAAGAUCGAAAUCAUUCCACAAGAAAUCAGGAGAAUGGAUUGCCAAAAUGAGCGUGAAGCAGCAAGCCAAACUUUUGUUGAAAGGGUUGUUUUCAGUUUAUUUAAAAAACUAUGACAAUUACAAAAAUAAUUACUCAUUGGACAUGUUCUAUUACUAACUUUUUAUGGAACAACAUUGGUCUAUGUAGUCCUAAGCUCUCAUAUGAAGUUAUCUACGGGUUCAUUGUGUUUGAGUACACCUUCUGGAAGCUCCUAGAAGGAUGCAUGGUGGAUACUUAGGUUUCUGAAUCUUUUUAAAGUAACCCUUUCAUUUCUUUUUAACUUCCUUUCCUUCUUUCUUUCUUAGUAUUUAGUCCUGUGCUGUCUAAUAGAACUUUUGUGAUGAUGGAAAUGUUUUAAUCUGUGCUGUUCAAUAUGGCAGCCACUAACCACAUGUGGCUAUUGAGCGCUUGAAAUGUGUGGUUAGUAUGACUGAGGAGCUGAAUUUUAAAUUUUAUUUCCUUUUAAUAAUUAAAAAUUAAGUUUAAAUAGCUAUGUGUGGCUAGUGACUAUUGAAUUGGACAGUGAGUCUAUCAAUUCAUUCUAGAAUUUUUGUUUCUAGUAUUUUUGAGACAUCCUUUGUGAUGUCCGGUUGUGUUUUAUGGUGGUUUGAAUUACUGGUCUAAUUUCCCUAAUCUCACAUUUCCCACUGCAAAAAGAUAGGUGGUUAGAAAGGGCUGACCGUAUCACCUUUAAAUCAAAUUUGAUUUUAUGCUUUGGAUGGGAUCCUCUGCUUCAAUUCUGGUUUAUUCUAGAUGGGCAUUCUGUGGUUGAGUGUGGGUGAAUUGUGGCUUUCUGCUAUACUUCUGGCACUCACAAAACACAAUGCUGAAGGCAGUCAUAUGUAACUGGGGAGGAAGCGUAUUUGCCUAUCUUUCAACUUGUUUGAAGACCAAACCACAGCCAUGUUGGUGUAAAGUAGCCGGGUGAGAUGGAACCAGCAAACUCUAGGACGACUUCAUCUUGGCUCACCAAAAAACGUCAAUGUUGAUGUGCCUUUCUUUUCUUUAUGGGCCUAAGUGACAGACUUUCCUGGGUCUCAGUUGCUGUGAAGAGGUCACUGGAAGUGGGAAGUAGCAUAUUUGCUACAUGUAACUAUUUCUGCAGUUGCCCUAGUGUUUGAAAUAAACCAAGAGCAAACCUUUCUACAAGAGGUGAGUUGACAGUAUGGUGCUCCAAGCCUCAAAUGUGACAAGCCUCAUAUGGUACUUGUCCUUCUUGUUCCUGGUAGGAUGGUUUCCAGUCUUCUUCUUUCAAGUUCAAGCACACGAGAUCCAGAACCAGGGGUCUUUUGAGAUACAACUGAAUGCACUGGUUCAAAUGACAAAAACUGUGGACCCACCUAAUGGAGAUGGCCAAAAGGGUAUCUUUUCCAUUGUUUCUGAUCAGGUUUCUUCAUCAGUAACUUGAUCGGUGACUUGAUUUUCUUCCUCAGUACCCUGCUGAGAAGCAGACCUAGUCUUGUUAUAGCUGGGUCAUUUCGUCUUGUGCGUCUUGUACAAAUCUGUAGCUGUCACUAUUCACAGGCUUGGCAAAGCCACUCACUAUGUAUAUAUUGUCGGCAGAAGGAACUUUCUUCCCUUUUGUUCCUGAAAAGGGGCAGGAAAACAUCCUUCCUCCUACUUUGACUAUCAGAUACUCGAACCGCCUGAGGUUGAAGGUGAAGGGUAGGUUACUACCGGUGCAGUGAAUGGUGAGUCCACCUCCCCAAGGGGCUGGAGCUCAGAAGCAGGAAGGUGAGCAGAUUGAAGUCUGUGGCAAUUUCCCGCUCUGGUUGCCAAAGGUAUCCCAUUGUCAAGAGAACCCAGAAAGACUGGAGCAUCUGCGUGAUUCUCAUUGCCUUUGUCCUUGCAUUUCAUGCGACCGCCGCUUAGAGGAAUGCUGGGUAAGUUCCAUGAGCCAGGCAGGUGCACAGGGAGUCCUCUGCCUGUGAAUUUCACCUUGGCCCAAGCUCUUAUGGUGAGCCAGGAGCAAACAGUCAUGGACUCGACUUUGAGUUUUCCCUGAAGCUCCCUCUCCUAAGCAGCACUUGACCCUGGCUGAUUCAAGGUCAAGAUGGGUGCUCAGGGGGGCCUCUAUUCUCUCCCUUCAUCCUUCCAUUGACUUCAAACAUUCAUUCGUUUACUCAUUCAAUAGUUAUUUAUUAGGCACCAGUUAUAUACUAGCAGUCUUCGCUGGGGAUACAGUUGUGAAUGAGACUUGCACAGCCUGUUUCUGUCUAAUCUGCAGAAUAGCUUCUAGACAUUUUCUUUCCUUAAAAGCUCUCUCCAUAUUCUUUCUGUAACAUCUGUGCCCCAACGACAGCAGGAAAAUCUUAUGAGGAUAUUUAAAAUAUGUUUUUCUAAUCGAUUCUCCUCUUUGGAUGCAAAAUGAACAUAAUGUAAUAAAAAUAGGACCAAAGAAACCAGAGUUAGAAAGUACGCCAAAACCCUUAUGGCACAGGAUAAUUUACUGAGAUUUUUUCCCGCUACCGAUGUCCAAGGGGAGAACAGAGCUUUGUGUCCUGGAGACCUGGAGCUGCCCUUGCCCACAUGGCAGAAGCAGGAGGCAUUUUGUUUUUAAAGUAUACAGUCUCGUAUAGAGAGGGUUGGGGACAGGAAUGGAAAUGCUGGGGUUGCAUGAAUUAUGUCCUGAGGCUAGGAGGGGCUGCAGUUCAUGUAUGUAGGCAGGAGGCUGCUCUAUGGAGUCCCCAGAGACAACGGGGCCUCUGAUCAGUGGAUCAGAGAGUUGGAGUGAGUGAGAGUUGGGGUGUGUGAGAGUUGGGAUAUGUGAGAUUUGGGGUGUGCGCAAGUUGGGGUGUGUGAGAGUUGGGGGUGUAGGAGAGUUGGGGUGUGUGUGAGAGUUGGGGUGUGUGAGAGUUGGGGUGUGUGUGAGAGCUUUGGUGUGUGAGAGUUGGGGUGUGUGAGAAUUGGGGUAUGUUAUAGUUGGGGUUUGUGUGUGAGAGUUGGGCUGUGUGUGAAGUUGGGGUGUGUGAGAGUUGGGAUGUGUGAGAGCGGGGUGUGUGUGAGACUUGAGGUAUAUGAGAGUUGGGUUGUGUGAAAGUUGGGAUGUGUGAGAGUUGGGGUGUGCAAGAGUUGGGGUGUGUGUAAGUUGGGGUGUGUGAGAGUUGGGGUGUGUGUGAGAUUUGGGGCAUGUGUGAGAGUUAAGGUUUCUGAGAGCUGAGGUGUGUAAGAGUUGGGGUGUGUGAGAAUUGGGGUAUGUGAGAGUUGGGGUUUGUAUGUGAGAGUUGGGGUGAGUGUGAGGUUGGGUUGUGUGUGAAGUUGGGGUGUGUGAGAGUUGGGAUUUGUGAGAGUUGGAGUGUGUGUAAAGUUGAGGUGUACGAGAGUUGAGGUUUGUGAGAGUUAGGGGAUAUGAGAAUUGGGGUGUGUGUGAGAGUAGGGGUGUAUAUGAGAACUGAGGUAUGUGAGAGUUGAAGUGUGUGAGAGUUGGGGUGUGAGAUGGCUUGGGCAUUGUAGUCAGAUUUGGGGGUCAUGUCUGGGCCGCACUGAACAGCAGAGGGGGCUUCAGAAGUCACUGAGACAGAGCCCUGGACCCAAAGCUUCAGGUGGGCUUGGGAAUCACAGUAGAACAACGACAGUCUUUUGUGAUGCACUGUUCACUUCUAUUUACCUCAGUGUGGGCAACUGUAAAACAGGGCAACAAACUCUAACAGAAAUUUGUACACCCACGUUCAUAGCAGCAUCACUCACAAGAGCCACGACGCAGAGGCGGCCCAAGUGUCCAUUGAUAGCUGAGUGGAUAAACAAAAGGUGAUAUAUCCGUACAAUGGAAUAUUAUUCAGGCUUGAGAAAGAAGGAAGGAAAUUCUGACACCUGCUACAACAUGGAUGAACCUUGAGGACAUUAUGCUGAGUGAAAUAAGCCGGACACGUAAGGGCAAAUACUGGAUGAUUCCACUUAGAUGAGGGGCCUAGAGCAGUCAAAUUCCUAGAGACAGAAAGUAGAAUGAUGGCUGCCAGGGGCUCGGGGAGGGGGAAUGGGCAGUUGCUGUUUAAUGGAUAUGGACUUUUGUUUGAGGUGAUGGAAAAGUUCCAGGGAUGGAUGGUGGUGAUGGUUACACAGCAGCGUGAAUGUACUUAAUGCCACUCAACUGUACACUUAAAAGUGGUUAAGAUGGUAAAUUUCAUGUUAUGUGUAUUUUACCACAAUUAAAAAAUAAAAUGAAAGGACAACAAAAUGGGCUUAACCUGUUAUAACUUCUAGAGUGAAAAGAGAAAACCGGCAUAAACCUUCUGAAGAGAAAGCUUGGAAAAUAGAGGGAGGUUAAGUGAUUUGACAGAGCAUAAAGUUAGAGCAAAUUUCUGGUGUUUUAAAAUAUAAGAAAUAUAAUCCAAAGUCUCUUGAGGGGUGAGUUCUGUCCUGGGCUGCCCCAGUGCCUCUGUCCUGAGUUUGUGUGUGUGCCUGGAGGGCCUCCAACCAGACAGAUGCUCAUUUCUCUCUCCCAGAGCAGUGGGGAGCAGCUAGUUGGUGGCUCUUCCAUGGGGUCUCCCUGGGACCAGGCUGGCUGUGUGGCUGUGCCUUCUUUAGGGUCACUGCUCCAGUCCCCUCUCCCUAGCCUUGUGAUUUAGUUUGGAUGCUAACACUUGGGGAGGGAACUCUUUGCUCUGCUUAGUCUCGCCAAGGGUGAUGGGCCCCCAAACUCUCUAACAGGAGGGGAAACGCAGUUGUGCUGGCCCAAGAUUGGGGAGGGUCAAGUGGAUUUAGUACACUUGAAAUGAGCAGAGUGCUGACCUCCUCAGUGGCCCGGAGGAAUGCCAGUGUGGCUACAGGUUGCACAGCAGGAUGAGGAAAAGGGUUUCCUCGUCAUAGGGUCCAAAAUGCAAUUGCAGGUUGAGCUUGACAACAGACUUAUUGCCACAGUCAUGGAACUAAGCUUUACCUUUAUGUAUGCAAAGGGUGUGGGCAAAGACUGGGUUUGCACACCAGCUCUCCCAGCAUUUUACUCCCACUGGUGAAAUGGAAAAGACAGGACUAUGAGGGGCAGAGUGCGGGUCAGCCCAGAGCGCCAUGUUCCUUCCACUGCACCAUUUCAUCUCUUCUCCUUACUGACCCGUCCCCUGAGGCCAUGUCUGUUAGCACUGUGCACUUGUUUUUAGAAAGUGGGCACUCUGGGAAGCCUGGGGGAGAGGGCCUUCCUACUAGCACCAGAGGAUGUGGCUCUGCUUGCCUUUCCUUGUGGUUGAAGUUGAAGGAGUCUUGGGGUUUGCGUUGUGGACUUGAGUUCCCGCUGCCACUAGGGGCCUGGCCUUUGAGAUCCCGAGUCUCCAUCUGCAGCCUGGGUCGUAUUCCAGAGUCACUUCAAGGUGUGCUGCUUGCCUGUAAAGUCCUUUGAUAUUUUGGCUUAAGCUGCUGUCCCAUUUGAGGCACCCACCGAUUCAAGUAACAGCUGGGGCCCUUGGUUUAUAACUCUCUCAUCUCACAUUUCUGGGUGGAUUUCUUUUUGUAGACAAUGUUCUAUGACUCACCUUUGAAAUGAGAAUUUAUCAGCUUAGGGAUUCUUCUCUUUGAAUUGUCGGAAUAAGAAUAAACAUAACACCCCAAAGUCCUGUUUCCAUAGUCCUUGGCCCAUCACAAAGAUGGAGGUGAGUCUCUCCCCACCCCUAUCUGGGGCCUAUGCUUUAUUUCUUUUUUCCCAAAGAAUAGCACGGGAAUUCUCGCCUGCUUCUUUCGUCUGUCUAGGGAACUGCUGAUCCAUCCCUCUGUUAUCCUGGUUCUGCCACUUAUUGCUGGUUCCAUGUCUCCUCAAGUCUCAGUUUCCUCACUCAUGAAGUGGGUGUAAUAGCUCAGGGUUGCUCAGAGUUUAAGCGAGUUUCUGUAUGUGAAAGUACUUUAUUUCAAAGUGCUACCCAAAUGGACAUUACUUUUCUGCUAAAAACCCUGUGAGAGGAUAGACCGUUUGUCCCUCUCUGGACUCGCUGCCUGGUGUGAGAAUACGUCUUGAUCAUACUGUUGUUAAAACUUAUUAAUAACGAAGAUCAUGUCUGUCUCCUCCUCCUGGCCCUCUUUCCCUCUCUCCCACUUUUGUCCAAGAGGUAAUGAAAAUUGGUUUUCAUUUCUUUUUCUCUUUCUUGGUAGCCCAGCCUCACUGUUUGGAGAGGCUCUCAAGGCCACUGCCCCUUGAAUUCUGUGAUUGCCAUCUGCUUUUACAAGAGUCGACUGAAGGUGAUGCUUUAGACCCAGGAAGAUGUUGGAAAGCUGCACAGCCUGUGUCUUUGGACCCACAGAGACUGAUGUGAAUGUUAAGUUUUCCAAGGCUCUUCUUGGCAGCUCGGCGGUGACCUGAUUCUUUGUGUAAUGUGAAGCUACCACGGACGCGGCUAAAUUAUACUUAAGAGUGUGGUUCAUCCACUGGGAACCUAGAUACACAUGUCCUGGAUUUUAUCGCCAACCAACAAUCUCGAGGGGAUGGUUGGCUCAUCAAUGUAACAUCUCUCUCUGACCCUUGGCAUUCCAGCUAGUUCUUGAAAAUUACUACCAUGUGACAACUUUGCAGUAGUCUCUGUGUGGAGAAGACAGAAAGGGAAAAAUUUCAUGAAAAUUGCCAUCGUACUUGGCAUUUUGGUGGCUGUCUCUCGCUUUGUUGUACAAAGUGAUCUGCUUUCACAACAGUUGGAAGGAGAUGGAGAUGAGCUUCCAACUGCUCUCAGGUUGUCCAGAUGUCAGACUGUUGGAAGCAGAGCUGGUGGAACACAGAACGCACUGGUGAAGUCCAGGAAGCCAAGAGCAUGUGACACUGUGAGUGUGAGAGGAUUGAAAUGGAAGUCCCACCGUUUGGGUGAAAUCUAAGACUUCUAAGAAUCUAAGAAUAAUCUUAGAUUCAGAGGAAGUUGCAAAAAAAUAAAAUACACAGGGAGCUCCUAUGUACCCUUUAUGCCUGUAACAUCUUGCAUAACUAUAGCAUAAUAUGAAAACUAGGAAAAGAAGCAAAGUGCUUUUGAAACAGGUGACACAGAGAGAUAAUGAAAUCACAGUACUAUUGCAAAGAUAGCAUGGACAUUUUUUUGCAUUCCUACUGUGUGCCAGCCACUAUACAGGGCAUUGGGAAUGUAAACAAACCAAUCUUGGGUCCUUCCCUCAGGGAGUAACAGAAUAACCAGGGAGGCUGACAUUAAAUAAAGAAUGAUGCAGAUAAUUCAUGAAUCACACUUGUGAUAAGUGUCAUGAAAUGGAAAUAUAGCCAAAAGAAAAAAAGUUGAUUUCAUGAAAAGAUACCUUAAAAAUUUCCAUGAUGUUUAGUAAUCUUAAGAUUUUCCAAAGAUUCUAUAGUAGCUAUAACUUUAAAGUUUACUCCUAGUAUUGCAAUUAUGAUUGUGUCCUUUUCUUGGCUUAUUUUUUUCAAAUUUCCUCUUCUUUUUGGUCUGAGGAAGCCAAGAUGUCCUGAAAUGAAAGGGCACUGAUAAUUGUGCCCGCAAAUGGCAGUUUAUAAGGGUGUUUUUAACAUACGUCAGCAAUUUGGCUGCACAAAGGGAGUCAGGCCUCAGAGAUCUGCUCCUUAAUAUCACCAGCAAUUAGGAGUGAUAACACCCAAACAGACGCUUGCCAAGAGGAGAGAUUCUUGAACGUCAGCCAUGUUUGACGAGACCCCGAAACCUCUUCUGGAUUGUAAAGCCAGCUGCCGCUGGUUUCAGAAGGCAGCUUUGGCAAGCCACAGAGAGUUCAAAUGCACAAGGUUCAUUCAUGUGGUUCGGAGAUAUGAUCUAAUUUGGAAUGCUUAUGGCUUAAGUGAAGAGAGGAACAAUUAGAUUUAUGUUCCCGUUGAACGUAAGAAGUGGUAUCCCGGCAACUCAAACAGAACGCCCGCAAGAGCGCGACCCUCCCCACCUACUUGGUAAACUCAGUGCAGGUGGCGGAAAUAAUACCUGGAUAAAUACCACUGGUCACUCAGGACGUUUUCUUUGUAUCAACAUUUGCUGUAGGAGGUUCUCACAUCCCCAGGCUUUUGCCAAGCAAACAGUGUGUCUCAGACAAGAAGUGGGGAACAAAGGUUUGCCAGUAAUGGGCCUCGUGGGGGUGUGUGCUGCGGGGUUACCCCUCUGAUGUCAACUCCAGUUCUUGGGAACUGCAAUCUUGAAUUAGGAUACCUGCCCAAGAGGCACGUGAUGCACAGAAGUGCUGACUUUAUGUCUGUUCAAGUGGGGCGUCUUUUGUAAUUUCUCAUUCCUCAAUCUAUGUUCUGCAUCACUGAGCCUUUCACUCUUGGUGCAGAAGCCAGAUCUCCACUUCAGUUGCUGUAUUUGCCCACCUGAAAAUUCCAGUAAUUGGCCUCAUCAUUACUCUAAAUAAAUGGGGGAGGGGAAAGCCGCACAAAAUCCAUCGCUCUAUGGGGAGAUGCAGGAUCUGUUGGUGAUCCUCUUGAUGUUAAUCUUUUUGUUGAUUUGUUAAUUUCUCUCUUAUUAUACUUUUUGAGUUGUAAGUUUUAAGAAUGAUUUUUUCCCCCCAGAAUGUUGGUGUUGAAUUUGGGAGAAUUCACUAUUUUUAAUGAAUGCUGGUGAGUGGAUGGGUGUGCUUUUGGGCCUGGAAUCCUCAUGUACUAAUCCUGGCAGGCAGAUGCUGUAUCCCCCAUGGCCCGGCAUCCUACUCCCACACGUAUCAGCUCUCAGUGCAUGCUGUCUGCUUUGCUGUUGAAAGCUUGUAGCUGGACAGGACAGGUGUUAAGAGCUGUGCUUUGGAGAAGAUAUAUCUGACUUUGAAUCCUGCAUCUGCCACUUACUCUUCUGAGUCCUUGGGCAAACCACUUAGCCUCUCUGAGCCUCAGUUUCCUCAUAUGUAAAAUGGGAACGAUAAGACCCACCAGAGAGAGUUGUGAAAAUUAAAUGAGAUGAUGCUUUAUAUUUUAUAUGGAACCUGUGGAUGGCCUGUUUCCCCUGUUAAAGUGUAAGCCCCAUGGGAGCAAGAAUAUGUUUAUUCACCACUAUAUCCCAAUGCCUGUACACAGUAAGUGCUCAAUAAAAUAUUUGUUAGAUUAAUGAAAAUGUGCUAUAGAUUUUUCUGUGAUAUUACUGAGAAAAGGAAGAGAACAGUUUAAAGAUUUGAGGAAUGAAGACGAGAUGAUUAUAUUGGAAACAAAAUAAUUAGAGGAAGAUAUUUUUAUCAACAUGAGUUAUCUAGAUGUAUCUUAGUAUUGGGCAUUAAUUCCACUUCUAAGCAAAUUUAUUAUUUUAGCUAAGAAGUCAUCAUUUACUUUUCUAGACGAUGUUUUUCAGGAUUCCUGAGAAAAACUGUCUUACACAUUUUUAAAUCUUUGACAAGUAUACAUAUAUAUUUUUAAUAGAAUUAUGUUUUUUGGCUCCCCGCUGAAUAUGGCAAAGACUUCCUCUCUUCCAUUCCUUCUUUCCCCCUCCUUCCUUGCUGUCUCUCUUUCCCUCCAAGAGGAAACACUGAAGGGCAUUUAAAAUAUUUCCAAGAAUUAAGGAUGUAGGGAAUACAUCCUUAUGGACCAGAUCCAUUGGAAUGGAUCAAAUCUACAUAAGGAGGUGUUUGGAAAUAUUAGCUUCUCAGGAAAGUUUUAAAUAAAAUCAAAAUAUUGUUUUUUUCUUAGGAGUUACUCAGCUUUGUAAUUCCGUAGAUAAUUAGUAAUUUUCUUUCUCUCCAAAUUCCCAAACUCUGGUACCAACCAGGAGUCCAUUUGGAGCAUCGUGGUGUGUCUGACUCAGUUGGGGAUGAGGUGGGUGCUCCUUCCAAGCGCUCAUUGCAAAGUCCUGAGCAACUUUAAAUGUUUUAAGGGCAAUUCUUUCUCUCACCACCAGAUGGAGAAGGUACUCCACUGGAGUUCACCACGGCAUUUGCUUCAUUGACGGUUUUGGCACUUCUUUCUGGACUGGGUGGUUAGUAUUUUUCUGGAUGCAGAAUAGAGAACAACUGAUGAGGGACUGUAUUUUAACAGUUUAUGUAGGAAUUAAAGUACAUGUUAUUACAGGUUCUGGCACCUCUUUGCCCACUUAAACUAUCUGGAGAGUUAUGUAUUUUUAACCCUUAAGAGACUGGUCACAUGUCAAUACACGUGAGUUUGAUUUUUUUUCUUAAGUUAAACUUUGACUUCUUAUUUCAUGACUUCCAACCCAUAACCUGUCUCCCCCUUUCUUUAUGGGAACAUAAUAUGAGGUUGAUAAUUAAGAACAAGAAUGGUGGGGUGGGGACCCAUAGCUCUGGGUUCAAGUCCAAACUGUUCUACUUGGGCCAGCCGCUUACCCAACCCAUCCCUCAGGUUCCUACAAAGUGAUAUAGCCACUUCACAGAAUCUCUGGAAGGUGUGAAUGAGGCCAUCCUGCUGAUGGCCCCCACAUGGCACCUAUGCUGUGGGUGCUCACAACAGCUUUGUUUAAUGUUAGCUGGGAAAAGGCUGGUGAGUGCAAUAUUUUAUAUCUCUCUCCAAUGCAUUAGCAUCUCAGACUAUGCUAAGUCUUAAUUUAGUUAUGGCCUCUUUGCUUGCUCUUCGUACCUCCAUCCUUUGGAUAGGCUAAAGCAGCGGUUCUUAAGGGUGGGGAAGGGGAGAGAUAUUGUCUCCCCAGGGGACAUUUGGUAAUGUCUGGAGACAUUUAUGGUUGCCACAGUUGGGGAGUGGGUAUUACUGGCAUCUGUGGGGUAGAGCCUAGGGAUGUUGGUAAACAUCCUACAGUGCAUAGGACAGCCCACCAAAACAGAGAAUGAUCCAGCUCCAAAUGUCAGUAGGACCAGGGUUGAGGAACUGGGCUGAAUGGUACUCAGUAGAAGAAAAGUUCCCUGUCUUUGGUCUAGUCCAUUCAACUUGAUUCAAUUCCAAAUAUCUACUCAUCUGGACCUCUGCUAGACUUUAGACCAAGGAUGAAAAGACACAGACUCGUCUGUGUCUGGGAAGGAUCUGGGGUUUUACUCUACUUACAAGCUAAUAAGUUAGCCUGUUACUGUUUCAUGGAUGCUGGCAGAAGAUGCAGACUCCUGGGUCAGAGACAAAGGACUUUGUUAUUCAGGGCGCAGCAAGCUGAAUGUUUAGUGUGUUGGCAUGGGCUCCCCUUGUCCUCCAAGUCCCACAGGGGCAAUAUGGUGGAGACUUGGUGGAUGUUAAGCAUGCAGUGGGUUUUCAUCACUACCAGGAACACUGAGCUUGAAGAAUCCACUGCUCUUACAGUUAGUGGUAAGCAAGCCUGCUCUUUGUCUGGGGGAAGACAUUACCUCAUCCCUCAAGGUCGUAAAGAAUCAUGUACAAGGCGCAGAGGAGAUGCACAGGGUAUUUCAGAUUGGUAGUGUUUGAGAAGGCUUCAUGGAGGAGGAGAUAUCUCAACUGGGUUUUGAAGAGUGAAUAGGGCUUCAACCCAUUGACAAGGGGAGGAAAGUUUUCUCUUAUCUUCCCGGCAGUAAAUUAACUUCCCUCCUGAGCAUCUCAGCACAAGUUGUGUGGGGACAGGGAAGACACUCUGGAGAAGUCCUGGCUGAAGAGGUUAACUAAUGAGCAUAUGUGGACUAUUGCCUAUUGUGUCAUGCUAUUAUAAGCUUUUAUCUAACAAUAAUUUACUAUGAGCCGUUCAGCUACACUUUUAUUAUAUAGUUUUAUUCCAUGCUGCAGCUGUGGGCCCGUACUGACCCAUAGGAAGCAUUUUCUUUACCACUAAUAGACCUUUCUUCAACACAUGGUAGCAUGUCAGGCUGAGGUUGAUGGACUAGAAAGCAGGAUCCACUGGAUCACCUACAGGAAGAGCUGGGAAGGUGAUGAGAGCAAGGAGUGAUGAGUCUCAUGGGUAAGCAUGGGAGCCAUUUGGGUAAAUACCAGAGCACAGUCUCUUGUCACCCAUGAUAGUAUAAACACACAGUGGCUGUAUUCAAAGCAUCAGAAGCUGGGCAGGCAGCGUGUAAAAGAGAGCCUAAUUAUGGAGAAUCCUUUGUGAUGCCAUCACAGCAUGGAAUAUUAUACCACAGGGAAAAUGAUGGGACUAGGCUGUAUGCAUCCACAUGGGUAAUCUCAAUCUUUUAAUCCCAAAGCCAGAAACCAUUCUAUAUACUUCCAGCAGGAAGGGUUUAAUAUAGGGAAUGAAGUCUUACAAAAUUAUUGGAAGAGAUGGGAGCAGCAAAAUCCAGGGGUGGGGAUGCUCCUCAGAAAUCAGGAAGUUGCAGGAAGCCACUAUUACUACUGUAGAAGCCCAUGUUAUUUUGCCACCAUCGCAGCCUGAGGAAGAGUGAAACCGGCCUUUGUCCCACCAUCCACCUCUCCUUGAUAAUAUCAGGAUGGAAACCCUGUGGGCAAGGGAUGCUGGGAGCUGUUCUCGGGAUUCUACAUCCCGUGAUAGAGCUGAGAGCAAAGAUGGGGGCAGGAAUGUGCUGAGUGUCAAGCGACAAGAAGAACAUGACAUUGAGUGACAAAGCAACUCCCAGAAGAUUACAUAGAGCAGGAUGCCAUUUCUAUAAAGCACAAAAACUAAACAAUGUAUUGUUGGGUAUUUACACAGUGGGAUGCCAGAGUCAGCUUGGACUGGCUUGCAGGACCCAACAGUUAAAUUCCCAGGAAUUUUGCAAGCCUAUUGUUAAACACAGCCAAUAUUAAAAAUUAAAUUGUAUAAACUUAUAAUAAAAUAAAUUACACUUAAGACAAUGGUAAUACAUACUUUAAAUUCACCAUCUCCUAAUUAUCUUACUGAAUUUUACUCAUCUUUGCUUUUGAGGUUAUUUAUAUCUAUUGUAUCGUAUGGUAAAAUUCCUAUAACUUGGCGUGUUACUACAAUCUCAUUCCAACUCUGUGUUCAGCGCCAUCACCUCGGUAGCCUGAAACGGGCCAUGAUGGGAGGGUUACGUGAAAGAACUUGGCAAAUGCUACAGAUCAGGGCUUGAUUGUUUGGCUGAUUGUCUAGACACAACAAAAUGAUGGGCAAAUGUUAAUAAUGAUUAACAGACUGAACUUAAAAGUUUGUCAUGUCUGUGGCCGUUACAUUGUGGAUAGCAUAGAAUUUGAGGAAAUAGUCUUCCAUUGUUUGAAAACUAUUAUCUGAUUCAACAAAGAAAUUGCUCACAUGAUUGAUGAAAGAGUGAUUUUCUUCCUCGUGUCUUUGUCAUUUUGCUUUCUUCUUGUGAAUGUAAACAAAAAUAUCAACUAACAUUUGUACUGGGCCUACAUCAAUUGCAACUGUUCGUUGACUACAAUUAUGAAAAUUUGGCAAAAAUCAACAAGAGUUGUUGUUCUGUGAGAAUCAAUUGACUGUAAAAAUUUGCAAUAAAGGAUAUUCUGUAUUUUGUUUUUAUUUGUAAAUUGUGCGCUAUACACACUUUGUAUCCAAAAAAAUUUAUAACCAACUUAUAUAGGGAUACGCACACACACAUUUAAUUUUGGGAGAGUUGGUUGUCAAACACUUACCAUCACACCACUGCAUCUAUAUGACAAAGCAAGUGUAUGAUUAACGACAUUCCAGAGAGCUGUUACCUUUGAGUGGGUAUCUAUCCACACCCCGCUCUGUUUUGUCUUUCUCCCUUCAUUUCUAUCUACCCAGUCAUCUGAGUUCAAAGGUGGGGAGUCAUCAAGGAAUCUUCCAACCCCUUCGCAUUUCACUGAUUUUUUCUUCGAAAUAUGUCAUGAUAUUCAUGGUUGCACAUGAUGGGAACUGUUUCCAGAUUUGAACCCAAUUGAGAAAUGCCUCUUCCCAGUGAUUCUGCUCGUAUAACACGCAGAGCACAGACUGCAGCAGAGGACACGGUUGCCAGAGAGAGAGCAUGGAGGACAGAGGAGCAGAGAUUCUGUGUUUUACCCAGGUACUUCAGCAAAGUGACUCGGGGCAUUGGUCAAUCUAGGGGAAGCCAAGCUCUGCAAAAACAAUCAAGAAAGGUAUAUAAUCAAUAUACAAAGGGGACUUGGGGCAGUUCAUGAGGACAGACCAAGAGUUAGGCCCCUGCAAAAAGGAAAGUGACAUCCCAGUGUAGAUCCUACAGAAACAAGACCAGGAUAUGCAGGAUAGGAUAGGCAGAGUCCAUGAGGACAGAUCCAGAAGGGAGUGCAGGGGCUGCUCUCAGGGUGGGGCCAGUGGAAACUGACACGCAGGGGUGAGGCUGAACCAAUAUGGGCAGCACUCACCUCGGCCCCCGGGCAGUAGGGGCCUCCCAGCUGUGUCUGGAGACAGGACUUGGGCACCAGGGGCUUCAGCACCUCCUCAUAACGCAGAUGCUUCUCAAUGGAAGCUCCCGGAGGAGGAAAUUAGGAAAGAGGGUGGAGCAUGGAGAGACGCUGGGGAGUGGUCACUGUGAGGCUGCGGCCUCCCCGGAGACCCCGACCCACAAUCCUGCCUGCAAGAGGUGGCUUCUCCAUGGAGCUUGUUUCUGAGGCUGCCUUCAGCAUCUGUGUCCAUAGGACAGUCAUAGUUAUGUGCAAGGCAGACCCCCUCUCUGCUUGGAUGUGCUUUUCUACACCAAGAAUAAAGCUCCUAGCUGCCUCCCUUUCCUCCUCCCCACAUCUCUCCAGAGCCCUGCCCUUGCUUAGGUGGACUCCUUUCCUCUCUUCGAAGGAGAGAGAAGGGGAGCUCCUUGCUGCACCCAUAAUGCACUGGGACUCACCCUGUUGUUGGUAGCAGUAUCUUGCUAAAUAUCAUUCUCAGAAGUGGAAAUCACUAAUGCUUAAGUCAACUUCUGGGAGAAUGAGUAUACAUAUAAUUUAGUUUUCAAUUCACUGGGAGGGCUCAAUAGUUCUGCCGUUUUCACUGAGUCCUGUAUUUAAAAGUCUGUGGUCAAUGUUGAUCUUUGAGAUCUGGACCGGGCAGACCCAACUUUACUGAUGUGGUCCAGGUUCUGUAGCCUGAGCUUCGCACAACCUGGUAAGCAGUACAUCCUGUUCAGGAUGUGGCUCAGCUUCCUCUGAUUGUGUUCCAGGUCAUAGGUAGAUAGAUUGCAAGGAAAUUAAAGUGUAUUUGUAGCUGGUAAUUUGGAAUUUGGAUUGUAAAGACACUAGCCAGUCAAGGCAACCACAAUAUCUCAGGAUGCAAAAGGGCUUGACUCCACUUAGUGGGAAAAUGCAAGUUAAAGAUGUGGCUUCAUGCUUCCUCCCGCAGAGCAAGAAGCCGACCCGUCCUCUGUCCAAGGAGACGGGUUCCAAGUUCAUUGUGGCCGACCUUGGGAGGCUGACCAUGCCCAGGGUCAGACCGCAGGUGGCCUUGACAUUAAAGACCCUAUUCUCUUCUGUCCCUUCCUUCUGCCACAGUGUCCCCUGGUGCUUUGAGCUGGAAAUACUUGUCCCAGCUCCAGCCCAAAGGAAACUGCCUACUUAGCAGAAGCCCCUGGCUAGUCCUCAUUCCCCUAAAACACAAGGAUGCUACAACACUUCUCACACUUACUCCCCAAUCACACUAGAACAUUCCUUAAGGGAAGCAUGCCACCUGGUUACUCAACUGUCUGCAAUCUCACAGGAGUCAUUCAUUCUUUUAUUUUUUCUCACCUCAUCUCAUCCCGCCUCGAACAAUUAUAUAAUGUUGGGUGGGCAUGCACUCUAUUAAACAGCUGCUGGGAAUUCCCCUUGGGAGCCAGAGGCAGAGCAGGCUGACUUCCGUGUUUCCCUGUGUUUAAGAUCGCAAACUACCCUGGCUUCCCUUGGACAGGGACAUGGAAGGCCCUAUCCCUGUGCCCAGACCAGCACAGCAAGUGAGGCGGGGUGGGAAGGGAGGGCUGCUCCAGAAAUAAGGACUACUCGGAGGCGUUUCAUUAUGGCCCCUUGCCAGGCUGCCAGCUGUAUUAUUAUUUUCUGCUUGCUCAGGCUCCGUCCACUUCUGGUCCUGGAAGGGAAACACUGGCCGAUGCUGUAGUACGUUUAUCAUCUUCAGGCUUUGUGACUAACCACAGGACUGCAUGGAACAUUCCCUGAAGAAAUGGAAGCACCCCGCUGUUAGAUCAAAAGGAGCCGUUCCGCAGCUCUUUGUAAUUUGGCUGCUGUGCUGAGAGGCUGCUUGGCCUGGGCUGUGGGUGUGGUGGCUCUCAUCACAUUGCGCCGAAAUUCGCUGCACUGUUUGCCCAGCUGGUGUCUGUUUAGAGAGCUAUUUAGAUUCUCCUGUGGAAAGGAAAGCUUCCCAUUCUUGGAGAAACCACAGUGAUUAAGUACAUAUAAGAGAAAAGCAUUAUGAUGACUAAUCAGAACAAAAUCAAUGAUUCCCUUUUUGCAUUAUAAAUGAUGAUGUUUAUAGUCAACAGCUUUUAGCAAGAGCCCAAGUGUGACUUUGGGGUGGGGCAGGGGGAGAACCACAUAAAUGCCACUGAGAACGGGACCUGUCAGUUAAGAAAAGAACUGGAAACAAAGAUGGGAUCAGGGUGCCCAUAGAAAAUCUGACCUGGCAAAUUCUUAACCUUUGUAAUAGAAAAUACUAUCUGAGGAAACGAGUAUUUUUGGUUAGCUUACAUGCAGCCAUUUGAGGCUACCCAACCUAGUCUCUCUGUCCUGUGGGACGCUUUCCACAAAACCUGACUUGAAGCCUGAGGAUCUUGUGUUCCCCUAAAUUUCCAUGCAGCCGAGAAAGUGGGAAGACACGUCCGUAGGAACCCAUCAGUGACAGGGCGCUCACCACCUCAUGAGACUGUUCCGGCUUUUGAACAGCUUUAAUUGUUGGAAAGGCCUCCCUCACAUUUGGUUGGAAAUUGUCUCCCUGUCAUUUUUAUCUAUUGGUCUCCAUGCUGCCCUUUGGAACUAUAUGGAAAAAUCUAGCUCUCUCCACACUGCGGUUCUUGCAACAUUUAAAGAUAACGUAGUGUUUGCACUGUGUUAUUUAUAGUCUCCUGUCUGAAUGUCCUCACUGUGUUCUGAUUUGAAGGAAGAACACUGGUCACCUGUCUGCCACUUCCUACCAGAGUCCCCUGGUAGUGAUCAUGGGGGGUCCAAAUGUUGCUCAUAUAUGGAGAUCUGCCGCCUCCUUUGUUCAUGACACAAUACUUUUAUUAAUUAAUCCAUCCUAAGAUCUCAGUUAGUUUUUGUUGGCAGCUGUGUCAUACUGCUGGCCUGUGUUUACCUUAAAGUCUGAAGAGCAAUCAACCUCCUGUUCCCUUAAAUUUCAGUAUACCUGGAGGGUUUGGGAAGAAGAAGAAGCAAAAAUUUUGACCUAGUUACUGUCAACUUGUUGCUUUUAUCAAGGCCUUUGAAUGUCGCAUUUGAUAUUAGAAUCUUAAGCAAGUGGAUAUAUUACGUUGAUAUGUGGCUCUGCAUAUUGUCGCGUAUGUGAUGUGAUAGGAUCACACUAAAAUUUAUGUUCUCUUUUGGGAAUGGUGGCUGGAGCUCUGUUAGAGUUUAAAAGGAAGUAUAUGUGCAGUUGAGGCACAGGGCGUGCACAGGAGCAGUUGAACAAGCGGAAGGUGUUAUUCUCAAUAAGGAGCUGACCCCACCCCAUUGAGAAAUUUAAGGACACUUGUAGGCAGUGUUUACAGAGCCACGGGAACUUCCUAUGACCGUUUGUAAAUAUCUUUUGGGUGCCUCGUGCUGAUGUUAGGUUCUGGCUUAGCAAAAUGCUACCAGGCACAGUCCCAGCCUUCAAUGUCAAGGAAAGCCUUUGUAUAACUACCUUUGUACCUUACACAGAGCAGACCCUCCAAAAUCGUUUGUUGGGUGAGCACAUUCAUUCAAAAAUAUAUUUGUUAUACCUUCCCGAAUCAAUAGAUAGGACCUAUGGAGGUACCUGCUUUGAAGUGGACAGAGCCUGUUCAGAACAUCUCUCUCUAUCUCUGCCAUCAUUGGACAACUGUCAAUCUCAUGACCGUUGCAGACUAGAGAAUGGCUGACCGAGAGGUGGGAGGCCUGGCCUUGGAGAGUGCAGGAGCAGCUUCGAUCUUCCACCUCCCCUGCCCAAUCUUUAGCCCAAAUCCCAGGAGCCAGAGCAGAAUAGGAAACAAAGUCUCAGAGAAGUUAAAAGAACUUAUCCAAGUUCCUUCCUGCAGGAACAGCAGUGCAAAGGAGCCUGUCCACCCCACAUGAAGGUGCAGAGGGGCUGGAGGUGAAGAUACUGUUUGUGGCUGCUGCUGCCAUGCGGCCACCUUUGAGUUAUAAAUCAGGACCAUCUCACUGAUGAGGAAAGGUAGGAGAAAGGCCAAGCCUGAACGAACAAAGAGGCAAAUAAAUAAGAAAGGAAAAAGGGACCAUGAGGAAGGAGAGAGAGGGAGAGACAGGA